UGAUAUCACUGCACUGUUACAUCAAGAGCAACAUAGUUUGGAGUCCCAUAGGACCAUCUUCCUAAAUUUACAAAGAAUUCAAAUGUAAAUAACCAAGAACAUAUAAAACCUUUUCAUGUCUGAAGCUUGCUGCACAUGUACACGCACCGCUUGUUGAUAAGGGUGUUCACGAGGCGGUUCGGUUCGGAUAGUAAUAAAAUUGUGAACUGUGACCACGGGGCGGGUACCUAAUGCGCACUAACCGAAACCGAACUGUAUUGAUAAAAAAAGCUGAACCGUAUGAAAGCGGGUAACCAUGGUUCGGUUCACGGGUACCCAGUAAAAUAUAAAGAAUUAAAUUCAAUUGAAGCUACAAACUCCAUUUUAGUUAUCUCUUUCUUAAAAUUAGUAAGUCAAAGAGUUUAAAAAAACAUAAUGAAGUUUAAAAAUCGUAAUGAAAUUCAAAUAUCAUAUAUUCUAAGUUGUAUAAUAAAUACAAUAAUAAAAAUAACAAGAAAAGCGAAUGAAUUUAGAAUUACAAAAUUGGAGUUGUCGAUAUGAAUUUUUGUUUAGGUUAUUGGACUCGUAGAUUGAUCAAACAAUACUAAUGAAAUAAUAGUUUUNUAUAUAUAUAUAUAUAUAUAUUAUCAAACGGUUCGGUUCGGGUAUCCGCGGAUACCUAAAUAUGAAAACCAAAAAUCGACCUGUUGAUAUCCGGUUUUUUCGGUUUUGGUUUUUUUCAGUUACGGUUUUUUUCGGUUUCGGUUUUUUUGGUUUCGGAUUGAACGAUUCGGCUCGGUUUUUCAGUUUUGCGGUUUUUUUUGCACACCCCUACUUGUUGAGACCCAAAGUCUGAAACUUUUAGAAUACCAUAUGAGUCCAUUAAUAGAUUUUCAGGCUGCAAUAAAUUCAAAGCUUAAUAACCUCAAGCGCAAUUAUUGACUAUUUCAAUACCAAUUGUAGCUUAAAAAAGGCUUCCAAAUUCAUUAGUCUGAUAUGAACAAAGCCUUUUCUUUAACUACUGAGAUUUUUCCAUUUCAUCCAUGCUUAUGCAUUUCUAGUAUUAAUGAAAAAUUGUUCUUUGGACCUGAUUGCAACAAGGGAGAAAGAAUGGUACUUAGUUUGUGUUGGAGAUUAAAAUACUCAAUUGGUUUUAAUGACAAAUAAUGAGUUAUGUUUUCUUGCGAAAGUUUUGCUGGUGGUAAAUGGAGUUGAGGGGCACCUUUUAAUAGACACUAAAAUAGCAAACAUAACACCUUUAUGACUAAUGUGGAUGAAUUGUAUAUCAAAAAGUUACCAAUUAAAAAAACAACAUUUACCUCAAAAAGAGCCACCUUUUUCUCAACCAUGGAGUCAGGAUCAUCACUUCUCUGUAUUUCCCUCUCAUGACCUGUAACCUGAUUAUCAAUUUUAGUAGCAACGACAAGUAAAUCUUCGAUCACAUGCUUCUUUCCAAAACACCUCUUCUACCGGAUAGAACGAAUGAAAUAUACAAGAAACAUUGUAAGAUAAAAUCAAGAGCCAAGCUUCCAAAUCAUUACCCAGCUGCUUUAUUUAACGACUUGAUGCCAAAAUUUAGUUCCGCACUACUUUUCAUCAUCUUAAUACAUGAAAAAUAUUAGUUGAAUUAAAAUAAGUUAAUAUAAAAGUGAAACCAUAUUAUGAAAACUGAAGUUGGACAUAGUUUAUAGCAUCUUUAAACCUCCGAUACACAUGUAGCUUCUAAAUGUGGACGACAAGCAGAGGUGGCAGAAAACUGCAUAAGCAGGCAAGUAGGAUGUAGCGAGAAUAUGCAAGGCAGGCAGGCAAGUGUAUGAAGAGGAAAAGGGUAGAAAGCUUAAAUAGAUGAAGAGUAGAAAAAAUCCUUUCAAUAUUACUCCCUUUCUUAAAUAGCUAUGGUGAGAAGUAGGAGAAGCAAAGUGUGUCAAUAUCUCAAUUACUGGAUUAAAAGUAAGAAAAUAAUUUGUUACCUUAUGGUUCAGUUCCAAGGAGAAAAAGAAAAAGUCACUGAAGAGAAGAAGAUGGUGUUAGAGAAUGGUAGCAUCGAUAUCUCCAUUCGAUUCUUCGGUUUCAUGGGUUUUCUAGUAAGAGAAAAUAAAAGAAUGAGAGAAAAAAAGAAGGAUGAGAAAAAUGGAGAACCGAAAUCAAAAGGGAACGAC
Molecule: long non-coding RNA, 2138 nt
Filed under: Lactuca sativa (garden lettuce)
Lineage: Eukaryota; Viridiplantae; Streptophyta; Magnoliopsida; Asterales; Asteraceae
Description: long non-coding RNA (LSAT_LNC006099)
Source: RNAcentral